RNAcentral lists this ribosomal RNA (448 nucleotides) under uncultured bacterium. Its description in RNAcentral is "bacterial SSU rRNA". It matches the Rfam family "Bacterial small subunit ribosomal RNA", at positions 355 to 825 of the family's 1533-position model. The record is from RNAcentral.
UCGGGAAUUUUGGGCAAUGGGCGAAAGCCUGACCCAGCAACGCCGCGUGAAGGAUGAAGUAUUUCGGUAUGUAAACUUCGAAAGAAUAGGAAGAAUAAAUGACGGUACUAUUUAUAAGGUCCGGCUAACUACGUGCCAGCAGCCGCGGUAAUACGUAGGGACCAAGCGUUGUUCGGAUUUACUGGGCGUAAAGGGCGCGUAGGCGGCAAUUCAAGUCAUCUGUGAAAUCUCCGGGCUUAACUCGGAACGGUCAGAUGAUACUGCUUUGCUAGAGUGCAGAAGGGGCAAUCGGAAUUCUUGGUGUAGCGGUGAAAUGCGUAGAUAUCAAGAGGAACACCUGAGGUGAAGACGGGUUGCUGGGCUGACACUGACGCUGAGGCGCGAAAGCCAGGGGAGCAAACGGGGAUUAGAUACCCAGGUAGUCCCUGAGCGGGCUGGCAAGGCGCAU